This 74-nucleotide transfer RNA is filed under the name Deltaproteobacteria bacterium. RNAcentral describes it as "tRNA-Arg". It matches the Rfam family "tRNA". Rfam says of the family: Transfer RNA (tRNA) molecules are approximately 80 nucleotides in length. Their secondary structure includes four short double-helical elements and three loops (D, anti-codon, and T loops). RNAcentral also lists the same sequence under 2 other names. Lineage: Bacteria; Pseudomonadati; Myxococcota; Myxococcia. The record is from RNAcentral.
GCCCCCAUAGCUCAGGUGGAUAGAGCGACGGUUUCCUAAACCGUAGGCCGCCUGUUCGAGUCAGGCUGGGGGCA